ACACUAAUUGUUCCUGUUUAAUAGCUACUACUAUUAAAACUCAACAGCUAACAAAAAUACUAAAAAAAAUGAUUUUUUCUUAUGAUGCUGUGAAAAAAAUUACGGGUUUACUUAUUUCCACGAGAUCUUGUAUAGUGUUCUUGUAUAGUGGAAUUAAGAUUGUCUUCCCGAUGGUGCAAUUCACCCUCUUCCUUUACAGUCACUUGCACUUUGUGCAGCUUUGGUGUGGAUAAGAUUCCCAGGGAAAAAGUCUUCAUGUUCGGACAAUGUGUCACAAAUACUCGUUCCAAUGAUGGGAAUUCAAGAGUGUAAUUCUCCAAACAAAAGCUGGUAAGCCUUGGUAAAUCAUCAAGUUCCAAAAGUUUUAAUUCUUUGAAAGCAAUACGAUUCUCCUUCGUUUCUUCUCCAGCAUGUCCUACGAUUUGUUCUAAUUUUUUGCAGUUCCAUACAUAAAGAUUCACCAGACUAGUAGGAAUUCCAACCUGAAAAUAAGCAGAGAGUGUGU
This 505-nucleotide long non-coding RNA is filed under the name Citrus sinensis (sweet orange). RNAcentral describes it as "long non-coding RNA (CSIN_LNC005595)". Lineage: Eukaryota; Viridiplantae; Streptophyta; Magnoliopsida; Sapindales; Rutaceae. The record is from RNAcentral.